RNAcentral lists this ribosomal RNA (253 nucleotides) under uncultured Eubacteriales bacterium. RNAcentral's name for it is "uncultured Clostridiales bacterium partial 16S ribosomal RNA". It matches the Rfam family "Bacterial small subunit ribosomal RNA", at positions 524 to 776 of the family's 1533-position model. Lineage: Bacteria; Bacillati; Bacillota; Clostridia; Eubacteriales. The record is from RNAcentral.
UACGGAGGAUGCGAGCGUUAUCCGGAUUUAUUGGGUUUAAAGGGUGCGUAGAUGGAUAAACAAGUUGGUUGUGAAAUCCCUCGGCUUAACUGAGGAAUUGCAACCAAAACUGUAGAUCUUGAGUACUGGAGGGGAAAGCGGAAUUCCUAGUGUAGCGGUGAAAUGCGUAGAGAUAUGGAGGAACACCAGUGGCGAAGGCGGCUUCCUGGUCUGCAACUGACACUGAGGCGCGAAAGCGUGGGGAGCAAACAGG